CAUCGCCCGUCCAGAAAACUACGUGGACGGGCUCGUGCAGGAAAAAGCAAAUCCGAAUUCCGAUCCCUAAUGUGAGAACGGAGAUGAGACAUCUUAAUGUGUACAGGAAUGCUCUGAACUCCCCAGAAGUCCAUAGCAAAAGCAGCGGGGGAGUGGGGGGAGUAAAGCUCAGGAGAAUAGUUUUCUCGUCUGUUAAUCCUAUAUUGACGAGUGAAGAAGUGUCUUGCUUGGUAAUUGUACAAAUUCAGUGGCCAAUCAAGAAGAACCUGAUCUCUUUGCCAGCAUCGCAUUUGAAGGAGAUCGGUCGACAAUGGUGGACUUCGCACACGUACAGAAAGAAAUUGCGGAUUGUAACAGAGACACGGAGAUUCCUGGUGUAAGCAUAAUGCUCCACAGUAACGAUCUUUCUCAUCUCUCGGGAACCAUCACAGGCCCUAUCGCCACUCCUUAUGAAGGUGGAACAUUUCAAAUCCGUAUCAGAUUGCUUGUAAUAACAAAGCUUUAGCUCAGUAAAGCUUGCAUUCCCUACUGUAGGCAACCAAAUAUUAGCAGUCAAAAUGGGGCAAUAUGCUUGGAUAUCUUGAAGGAUCAAUGGAGCCCAGCCCUCAUGCUGAAGGCGGCACUUCUUUCCUUGCAAGCAUUGUUAUCUGCCUCUGAACUUGAUGAUCCUCAAGAUGCAGUGGUAGCUCAACAGGUUUCAUUUCCUGCUACUCUACUUGAGAAUAUAUUCUUGAUUGCAGUUAUAUAUGUUUUUCUGCUUGUGUGAGUGCUUAUGACUGGACCUCACAGUAUCUUCGAGACUAUCAGACCUUUGUUGGCACAGCUCAGUAUUAUACUGAAACUUUUGCAAAGAGAUCAUCUAUUGGAACUGAAGAAAAAGUACAAAAUUUGGUGGAGAUGGGCUUCCCUGAGAGCUUGGUAAGGGCAACUUUGGAAGCUGUAGGUGUUGAUGAGAACGUGGCUCUGGAAAAGCUUUGCUCUUUCUAGAAUGGUCUUGCUGCAGCUUCCAUCAUCCUUUUCACUCGUCAGCUUCUCUAUCUCCUGUAGUAUCUGAAAAUUGAUACAAAGAUGAGAAAUCCUAUGAGAAGUUAGUGUCCUAGAAGCUCCUGAUUUCAAUUCUUUUGAUCUCAUAUCAAUAGAAAAAAACAUAUUUCACCACCU
Macadamia integrifolia is the source of this 1161-nucleotide RNA transcript. It is a transcript of the gene named ubiquitin-conjugating enzyme E2 27-like, with no coding region annotated. The record is from RefSeq and is a predicted model, not a curated record. NCBI's taxonomy places the organism in Eukaryota, Viridiplantae, Streptophyta, Magnoliopsida, Proteales, Proteaceae. The transcript has 3 exons.